GAUGAACGCUGGCGGCGUGCCUAAUACAUGCAAGUCGAGCGAACAGACGAGGAGCUUGCUCCUCUGACGUUAGCGGCGGACGGGUGAGUAACACGUGGAUAACCUACCUAUAAGACUGGGAUAACUUCGGGAAACCGGAGCUAAUACCGGAUAAUAUAUUGAACCGCAUGGUUCAAUAGUGAAAGACGGUUUUGCUGUCACUUAUAGAUGGAUCCGCGCCGCAUUAGCUAGUUGGUAAGGUAACGGCUUACCAAGGCAACGAUGCGUAGCCGACCUGAGAGGGUGAUCGGCCACACUGGAACUGAGACACGGUCCAGACUCCUACGGGAGGCAGCAUUAGGGAAUCUUCCGCAAUGGGCGAAAGCCUGACGGAGCAACGCCGCGUGAGUGAUGAAGUUCUUCGGAUCGUAAAACUCUGUUAUUAGGGAAGAACAAAUGUGUAAGUAACUAUGCACGUCUUGACGGUACCUAAUCAGAAAGCCACGGCUAACUACGUG
RNAcentral lists this ribosomal RNA (497 nucleotides) under uncultured bacterium. Its description in RNAcentral is "partial 16S ribosomal RNA". It matches the Rfam family "Bacterial small subunit ribosomal RNA", at positions 28 to 507 of the family's 1533-position model. The record is from RNAcentral.